GGGUAGGAGAUUUCUUCCUUUCCUCUCCAGGUUGCCGUAAACAGCCCACCCACCGCCCAGAGUGGAAAGGGCACAAAGAGACCCAGCCUCCUAGUCUCUCGUACCGGCAUCCAGCCGCCUGCUUAGGGACAGGAAGUCGGCCAUGCCGAGAAGGUCGUUCUGAAUGGAAGUGGACGGACGGCCACAGAAACGGACAGGAAGUUGGCCAUCCCGGGGAGGUCGGUGUGUAAGACAGUGGAGGACUACUGCGCAUGUGUGACUGGAAGUUGGCAGGCCCUAGGAGUAGGUAACCCAAAACACUCGAAGAGCCACUUGGACCCAUUUACAACCGAAAACAUCUUUUAUGACUCAUGGACUUCUACUCUCAGAAUUCCUGAGUCAGCAUAGCUGGGCUAGCUAGCUCUCUCCUGCCCUUCCUGCUUCCUGCAGAGACGCAGCAAAAGGAGGAGUGCCAUCCAGUAAGCUUUUUAGCUCGUCGGAGAACACUGUCAUUUUGGAUUCGUGCCUUGAAAGUCAACAUUACUUCAGUUGGAACUGGGGUUUUACUCCUAAGAAUGCACAAUACACAGUGGUUACUAUUACCCCAGACACAGGGGUUACCCUUGCUUAUCUAGGCAUAAUUACUGGAAGACCAUCCACCUCCCUCUAUAUCCUAAAGCAGGGGUCUCCAAACCUGGCCCUUUUAUGACUUGUGGACUUCAACUCUCAGCACGCUGGCUGAGGAAUUCUGGGAGUUGA
Crotalus tigris (Tiger rattlesnake) is the source of this 738-nucleotide long non-coding RNA. RefSeq lists it as uncharacterized. The record is from RefSeq and is a predicted model, not a curated record. The transcript has 4 exons. NCBI's taxonomy places the organism in Eukaryota, Metazoa, Chordata, Lepidosauria, Squamata, Viperidae.